AUUGAACGCUGGCGGCAGGCCUAACACAUGCCAGUCGAACGGUAACAGGAAGCAGCUUGCUGCUUCGCUGACGAGAGGCGGACGGGUGAGUAAUGUCUGGGAAACUGCCUGAUGGAGGGGGAUAACUACUGGAAACGGUAGCUAAUACCGCAUAACGUCGCAAGACCAAAGAGGGGGACCUUAGGGCCUCUUGCCAUCGGAUGUGCCCAGAUGGGAUUAGCUAGUAGGUGGGGUAACGGCUCACCUAGGCGACGAUCCCUAGCUGGUCUGAGAGGAUGACCAGCCACACUGGAACUGAGACACGGUCCAGACUCCUACGGGAGGCAGCAGUGGGGAAUAUUGCACAAUGGGCGCAAGCCUGAUGCAGCCAUGCCGCGUGUAUGAAGAAGGCCUUCGGGUUGUAAAGUACUUUCAGCGGGGAGGAAGGGAGUAAAGUUAAUACCUUUGCUCAUUGACGUUACCCGCAGAAGAAGCACCGGCUAACUCCGUG
RNAcentral lists this ribosomal RNA (490 nucleotides) under uncultured bacterium. RNAcentral's name for it is "partial 16S ribosomal RNA". It matches the Rfam family "Bacterial small subunit ribosomal RNA", at positions 30 to 507 of the family's 1533-position model. The record is from RNAcentral.